CCUACGGGAGGCAGCAGUAGGGAAUAUUGCUCAAUGGGGGAAACCCUGAAGCAGCAACGCCGCGUGGAGGAUGAAGGUUUUCGGAUUGUCAACUCCUUUUGUUAGAGAAGAUAAUGACGGUAUCUAACGAAUAAGCACCGGCUAACUCCGUGCCAGCAGCCGCGGUAAUACGGAGGGUGCCAGCGUUACCCGGAAUCACUGGGCGUAAAGAGCGCGUAGGCGGGAUAGCAAGUCAGAUGUGAAAUCCUAUGGUUUAACCAUAGAACUGCAGUUGAAACUGUUAUUCUAGAGUAUGGGAGAGGUAGGUGGAAUUCGUGGUGUAGGGGUAAAAUCCGUAGAGAUCAAGAGGAAUACUCAUUGCGAAGGCGACCUGCUAGAACAUAACUGACGCUGAUGCGCGAAAGCGUGGGGAGCAAACAGGAUUAGAUACCCCAGUAGUC
Molecule: ribosomal RNA, 440 nt
Filed under: uncultured bacterium
Lineage: Bacteria
Description: partial 16S ribosomal RNA
Rfam family: Bacterial small subunit ribosomal RNA
Source: RNAcentral